UACGAAGGGGGCUAGCGUUGCUCGGAAUCACUGGGCGUAAAGGGCGCGUAGGCGGAUCUUUAAGUCGGGGGUGAAAGCCCAGGGCUCAACCCUGGAAUUGCCUUCGAUACUGAAGAUCUCGAGACCGGAAGAGGUAAGUGGAACUGCGAGUGUAGAGGUGAAAUUCGUAGAUAUUCGCAAGAACACCAGUGGCGAAGGCGGCUCACUGGCCCGGUACUGACGCUGAGGUGCGAAAGCGUGGGGAGCAAACAGG
This 253-nucleotide ribosomal RNA is filed under the name uncultured bacterium. RNAcentral's name for it is "partial 16S ribosomal RNA". It matches the Rfam family "Bacterial small subunit ribosomal RNA", at positions 524 to 776 of the family's 1533-position model. The record is from RNAcentral.